AUACGUAGGGUGCGAGCGUUGUCCGGAAUUACUGGGCGUAAAGAGCUCGUAGGUGGUUUGUCGCGUCGUCUGUGAAAUUCCGGGGCUUAACUCCGGGCGUGCAGGCGAUACGGGCAUAACUUGAGUACUGUAGGGGAGACUGGAAUUCCUGGUGCAGCGGUGAAAUGCGCAGAUAUCAGGAGGAGCACCGGUGGCGAAGGCGGGUCUCUGGGCAGUAACUGACGCUGAGGAGCGAAAGCAUGGGUAGCGAACAGGAUUAGAUACCCUGGUAGUCCAUGCCGUAAACGGUGGGCGCUAGGUGUAGGGGUCUUCCACGACUUCUGUGCCGUAGCUAACGCAUUAAGCGCCCCGCCUGGGGAGUACGGCCGCAAGGCUAAAACUCAAAUGAAUUGACGGGG
This 398-nucleotide ribosomal RNA is filed under the name uncultured bacterium. Its description in RNAcentral is "partial 16S ribosomal RNA". It matches the Rfam family "Bacterial small subunit ribosomal RNA", at positions 523 to 918 of the family's 1533-position model. The record is from RNAcentral.